CCUACGGGUGGCAGCAGUAGGGAAUUUUGCGCAAUGGGGGAAACCCUGACGCAGCAACGCCGCGUGAUCGAUGAAGCCCUUCGGGGUGUAAAGCUCUGUCAGUGGGGACGAAACAUGACGGUACCUACCGAGGAAGCACCGGCUAACUCCGUGCCAGCAGCCGCGGUAAUACGGGGGGUGCAAGCGUUGUCCGGAAUCAUUGGGCGUAAAGGGUUCGUAGGUGGCAAGUUAAGUCUGGUGUGAAAGUCGGAGGCACAACUUCCGUAGGGCCCUGGAAACUGGCGGGCUGGAGUGCGGGAGGGGUAGGGGGAAUGCGUGGUGUAGCGGUGAAAUGCGUAGAUAUCAGGAGGAACAUCGGUGGCGAAGGCGGUUUACUGGGCCGCAAUUGACGCUGAGGAACGAAAGCCGGGGUAGCGAACAGGAUUAGAUACCCGAGUAGUC
This 441-nucleotide ribosomal RNA is filed under the name uncultured bacterium. RNAcentral describes it as "partial 16S ribosomal RNA". It matches the Rfam family "Bacterial small subunit ribosomal RNA", at positions 338 to 795 of the family's 1533-position model. The record is from RNAcentral.